GCCGGAGUGGUGGAAUGGCAGACACGAUGGAUUCAAAAUCCAUUGUCCUCACGGACAUGUGGGUUCGACUCCCACCUCCGGUA
RNAcentral lists this transfer RNA (83 nucleotides) under Planctomycetia bacterium. Its description in RNAcentral is "tRNA-Leu". It matches the Rfam family "tRNA". Rfam says of the family: Transfer RNA (tRNA) molecules are approximately 80 nucleotides in length. Their secondary structure includes four short double-helical elements and three loops (D, anti-codon, and T loops). Further hydrogen bonds mediate the characteristic L-shaped molecular structure. tRNAs have two regions of fundamental functional importance: the anti-codon, which is responsible for specific mRNA codon recognition, and the 3' end, to which the tRNAs corresponding amino acid is attached (by aminoacyl-tRNA synthetases). tRNAs cope with the degeneracy of the genetic code in two manners: having more than one tRNA (with a specific anti-codon) for a particular amino acid; and 'wobble' base-pairing, i.e. permitting non-standard base-pairing at the 3rd anti-codon position. The record is from RNAcentral. Lineage: Bacteria; Pseudomonadati; Planctomycetota; Planctomycetia.